GAAACUCGAGCUAAUACCGCAUACGCCCUACGGGGGAAAGAUUUAUCGCUAUUAGAUGAGCCCAAGUCAGAUUAGCUAGUUGGUAGGGUAAAGGCCUACCAAGGCGACGAUCUGUAGCUGGUCUGAGAGGACGAACAGCCACACUGGGACUGAGACACGGCCCAGACUCCUACGGGAGGCAGCAGUGGGGAAUAUUGGACAAUGGGCGAAAGCCUGAUCCAGCAAUGCCGCGUGUGUGAAGAAGGCCUGCGGGUUGUAAAGCACUUUCAGUUGGGAAGAUUAUGACGUUACCAACAGAAGAAGCACCGGCUAACUCCGUGCCAGCAGCCGCGGUAAUACGGGAGGGUGCAAGCGUUAAUCGGAAUUACUGGGCGUAAAGCGCGCGUAGGCGGCUUGGCCAGUCAGAUGUGGAAAUCCCCGGGGCUUAACCUGGGGAACUGCAUUUGAUACUGCCAGGCUAGAGUAUGGUAGAGGGAAGUGGAAUUCCAGGUGUAGCCGGUGGAAAAUGCGUUA
RNAcentral lists this ribosomal RNA (513 nucleotides) under uncultured bacterium. RNAcentral describes it as "bacterial SSU rRNA". It matches the Rfam family "Bacterial small subunit ribosomal RNA", at positions 153 to 693 of the family's 1533-position model. The record is from RNAcentral.